This 369-nucleotide ribosomal RNA is filed under the name Escherichia coli. RNAcentral's name for it is "partial 23S ribosomal RNA". It matches the Rfam family "Bacterial large subunit ribosomal RNA", at positions 2580 to 2925 of the family's 2925-position model. Lineage: Bacteria; Pseudomonadati; Pseudomonadota; Gammaproteobacteria; Enterobacterales; Enterobacteriaceae. The record is from RNAcentral.
UUCGCCAUUUAAAGUGGUACGCGAGCUGGGUUUAGAACGUCGUGAGACAGUUCGGUCCCUAUCUGCCGUGGGCGCUGGAGAACUGAGGGGGGCUGCUCCUAGUACGAGAGGACCGGAGUGGACGCAUCACUGGUGUUCGGGUUGUCAUGCCAAUGGCACUGCCCGGUAGCUAAAUGCGGAAGAGAUAAGUGCUGAAAGCAUCUAAGCACGAAACUUGCCCCGAGAUGAGUUCUCCCUGACUCCUUGAGAGUCCUGAAGGAACGUUGAAGACGACGACGUUGAUAGGCCGGGUGUGUAAGCGCAGCGAUGCGUUGAGCUAACCGGUACUAAUGAACCGUGAGGCUUAACCUUACAACGCCGAAGGUGUUU